UACAGAGGUCUCAAGCGUUGUUCGGAUUCAUUGGGCGUAAAGGGUGUGUAGGUGGCGCGCUAAGUCGGGUGUGAAAUCUCGGGGCUUAACUCCGAAACUGCAUUCGAUACUACCGUGCUUGAGGACUGGAGAGGAGACUGGAAUUUACGGUGUAGCGGUGAAAUGCGUAGAUAUCGUAAGGAAGACCAGUGGCGAAGGCGGGUCUCUGGACAGUUCCUGACGCUGAGGCACGAAGGUCAGGGGAGCAAACGGG
This 253-nucleotide ribosomal RNA is filed under the name uncultured bacterium. RNAcentral describes it as "partial 16S ribosomal RNA". It matches the Rfam family "Bacterial small subunit ribosomal RNA", at positions 524 to 776 of the family's 1533-position model. The record is from RNAcentral.